RNAcentral lists this unclassified non-coding RNA (378 nucleotides) under plant metagenome. RNAcentral describes it as "partial contains 5.8S ribosomal RNA, internal transcribed spacer 2, and large subunit ribosomal RNA". The stretch from base 1 to 105 matches the Rfam family "5.8S ribosomal RNA", at positions 50 to 154 of the family's 154-position model. The record is from RNAcentral.
GAAAUGCGAGAAGUAAUGUGAAUUGCAGAAUUCAGUGAAUCAUCGAAUCUUUGAACGCACCUUGCGCGCCUUGGUAUUCCUUGGAGCAUGCCUGUUUGAGUAUCAUGAAAUCUUCAAAGUAAAUCUUUUGUUAACUCAAUUGGUUUCUACUUUGGUAUUGGAGGUCUUUGCAGCUUCACACCUGCUCCUCUUUGUUCAUUAGCUGGAUCUCAGUGUUAUGCUUGGUUCCACUCGGCGUGAUAAGUUAUCUAUCGCUGAGGACACUGUAAAAGGUGGCCAAGGUAAAUGCAGAUGAACCGCUUCUAAUAGUCCAUUGACUUGGACAAUACUUUUAUGAUCUGAUCUCAAAUCAGGUAGGACUACCCGCUGAACUUAAGC